RNAcentral lists this ribosomal RNA (414 nucleotides) under Klebsiella pneumoniae. RNAcentral's name for it is "bacterial LSU rRNA". It matches the Rfam family "Bacterial large subunit ribosomal RNA", at positions 428 to 848 of the family's 2925-position model. The record is from RNAcentral. Lineage: Bacteria; Pseudomonadati; Pseudomonadota; Gammaproteobacteria; Enterobacterales; Enterobacteriaceae.
GGUAUCCUGUCUGAAUAUGGGGGGACCAUCCUCCAAGGCUAAAUACUCCUGACUGACCGAUAGUGAACCAGUACCGUGAGGGAAAGGCGAAAAGAACCCCGGCGAGGGGAGUGAAAAAGAACCUGAAACCGUGUACGUACAAGCAGUGGGAGCACCUUCGGGUGUGACUGCGUACCUUUUGUAUAAUGGGUCAGCGACUUAUAUUCUGUAGCAAGGUUAACCGUAUAGGGGAGCCGCAGGGAAACCGAGUCUAACUGGGCGUUAAGUUGCAGGGUAUAGACCCGAAACCGGUGAUCUAGCCAUGGGCAGGUUGAAGGUUGGGUAACACUAACUGGAGGACCGAACCGACUAAUGUUGAAAAAUUAGCGGAUGACUUGUGGCUGGGGGUGAAAGGCCAAUCAAACCGGGAGAUAG